This 300-nucleotide long non-coding RNA is filed under the name Ananas comosus (pineapple). Its description in RNAcentral is "long non-coding RNA (ACOM_LNC011236)". Lineage: Eukaryota; Viridiplantae; Streptophyta; Magnoliopsida; Poales; Bromeliaceae. The record is from RNAcentral.
AAAAAAAUGAAAUCAAGGUUAAGCCGUGCAAACGUGCUUCGUAAUUAAAUAAUUGUUACCGACCGUCCCUAGAGUAAGUGGCAAAGGACUUGAUAGUUGGUACCCGAGGUUCCAAAUUCGAAUUCUCGUUGAUUUACAUUUCUAGCUAAGUUUAUUUCUAAAUAAAAUAAACGAAGCGGGUAGCGUACUAUCUAUCUCUAAAAAAAAAUAAAUAAAUAAAUAAAUAAAUAAUCGUUGAAUUUUGGAUAGUAAAGUUCAUGGACUAAAGAAAGAAUUGCUUAAUUAGGUUGAGAAAAGGGG